Molecule: ribosomal RNA, 253 nt
Filed under: uncultured bacterium
Lineage: Bacteria
Description: partial 16S ribosomal RNA
Rfam family: Bacterial small subunit ribosomal RNA
Source: RNAcentral
UACGUAGGGGGCAAGCGUUGUCCGGAUUUAUUGGGCGUAAAGAGCGUGUAGGCGGCUAGGUAGGUCCGUUGUGAAAACUCGAGGCUCAACCUCGAGACGCCGAUGGAAACCAUCUAGCUAGAGUCCGGAAGAGGAGAGUGGAAUUCCUGGUGUAGCGGUGAAAUGCGCAGAUAUCAGGAGGAACACCAAUUGCGAAGGCAGCUCGCUGGGACGUUACUGACGCUGAGACGCGAAAGCGUGGGGAGCAAACAGG